CUACGGGAGGCUGCAGUCGAGAAUCUUCCGCAAUGGGCGCAAGCCUGACGGAGCAAUGCCGCGUGAGGGAUGACGGCCCUAGGGUUGUAAACCUCUGUCAGAAGGGACGAAGAACGUGACGGUACCUUCAGAGGAAGCCAUGGCUAACUACGUGCCAGCGAGCCGCGGUAAUACGUAGAUGGCGAGCGUUAUUCGGAUUUACUGGGCGUAAAGGGUCCGUAGGGGGUCUGCCAAGUCUGAUGUGAAAUCCUGCGGCUCAACCGCGGAACUGCAUUGGAAACUGGCGGACUAGAGUGUGCGAGGGGUGAGCGGAAUUCCUGGUGUAGCGGUGGAAUGCGUAGAUAUCAGGAAGAACACCGAUGGCGAAGGCGGCUCACUGGCGCAUCACUGACCCUGAGGGACGAAAGCGUGGGUAGCAAACAGGAUUAGAUACCCUCGUAGUC
Molecule: ribosomal RNA, 443 nt
Filed under: uncultured bacterium
Lineage: Bacteria
Description: partial 16S ribosomal RNA
Rfam family: Bacterial small subunit ribosomal RNA
Source: RNAcentral